AUAAUUUAUGUUUAAAGCUUUGUUUUCGUCCACUCACACUUUCUGUUUUGCAACCUCGAGGUCCUAGAUAUCCGAGGUCGAGACCACCAUGUCGAGGCAUCACCACUGUCCGCACUGUAGGAAUUCCUCAUUUAUCCUUCUCUACUUUACUUUUCCCUGGUAGGAAACACCUUCAACAACUCUUGGACUUUGUCAAGGUACAAGAUCAUCCUAGGGUAAGCGUCUACGUCUAAACUUCUGUCUCAAAAUACUGCAGAAAUUCUAUCUCACAAACUCUAGCCACCAUAACUCUUUCUCCUUCUCACACAAGGCUCCG
RNAcentral lists this long non-coding RNA (316 nucleotides) under Prunus persica (peach). RNAcentral describes it as "long non-coding RNA (PPER_LNC006833)". Lineage: Eukaryota; Viridiplantae; Streptophyta; Magnoliopsida; Rosales; Rosaceae. The record is from RNAcentral.